This is a long non-coding RNA of Arachis stenosperma, 162 nucleotides long. RefSeq lists it as uncharacterized. NCBI's taxonomy places the organism in Eukaryota, Viridiplantae, Streptophyta, Magnoliopsida, Fabales, Fabaceae. The transcript has 3 exons. The record is from RefSeq and is a predicted model, not a curated record.
UAAAACUCAAAUCAAAACACCGAUUUCACCAAAAUGAUCCUCUCUUCUUCCUCUACAUAACCAUGUGAAUUAUCAAGGCUGGAAAUAAGGAGGAAAAAGUGCUUAAGGACCACCUGAAAGUUUGAUUGAAUUAGGAGCAGCAAAACCAGAUGGAAGCAUGAG